AGAGUUUGAUCCUGGCUCAGAAUCAACGCUGGCGGCGUGCCUAACACAUGCAAGUCGAGCGAGAAAGUGGAGCAAUCCAUGAGUAAAGCGGCGCACGGGUGAGUAACACGUGACUAACCUACCUCCGAGUGGGGAAUAACCUGGGGAAACCCGGGCUAAUACCGCAUAACACCUACGGGUCAAAGGAGCAAUUCGCUUGG
RNAcentral lists this ribosomal RNA (200 nucleotides) under uncultured bacterium. RNAcentral's name for it is "partial 16S ribosomal RNA". It matches the Rfam family "Bacterial small subunit ribosomal RNA", at positions 8 to 222 of the family's 1533-position model. The record is from RNAcentral.